AUAAUAAGAGCAGCAUGUAUACUAAAAUUGGAAGGAUACAGAGAAGAUUAGCAUGGCCCCUGCACAAGAGUGACAUGAAAAUUUGUGAAGCGUUCCAUAUUUUU
This is a small nuclear RNA of Eubalaena glacialis (North Atlantic right whale), 104 nucleotides long. The record is from RefSeq and is a predicted model, not a curated record. NCBI's taxonomy places the organism in Eukaryota, Metazoa, Chordata, Mammalia, Artiodactyla, Balaenidae.